GCGGGCGGAUCGCUUCAGCCCGGGGCGCCGGGUCUCUGCGUGCAGCGGCCCAGGGUCUUCCCAGUGGGGGAGUGGGGACGCCAAGGCUGGUGGGCUCGCACACACCUGGCAGAAGGGAAAGCCUGGAGCGAAUCCACGUCCAAAUCCUAAUGCUACUCUGGUCAUCGUACCUUGAUUAUUAUUUGCAUCCUGCGUUGGAAGUAAUGCCCGAAUCUAGUGUGCUGUGUGCUUCGUGACACAGGUAAAGCAGUCCUCAACUUGGGGUUAGUCCUUGUCACUACGAAGAGGUGCACAAUUUGAGGCUCAAAAUAUGCAUCUGCUUUGAAAGACAAUUUGCAAUGUGUUAAGACAUUUUAAAAGCGUUAUUUAAAAAGUUAGAGUCAUGAAAUUUGAAGAUUUAAACUUUUAAAAUAAAAUUUUAAUUGUACACGGUUUUAGAAAAGGUGGUAAUAAACAUCUGUCUCAUACUUUAAAGAAAAGUAUGACUCCCUGCUAAUAACCCAGAUCUCCAGCCCUCUUCCCCAGGGGCAAUUACUGUUAAGUCUGUCUAUUCUAACAGGAUCUUGCCAUUCACAAGUUCAUGUCUCUCUUUUUUCUUUUUUUGCACAAAUGGUAUUUGGGGUAUAUUUAUUUUUCUUCAAAAGAUAUUCAAAAACAGAAACAUUUCCCUUUAUAAUGUUAAUUAAAAUGCAAAAGAUAUAUACAUAUAUAUACUCCUACAUACACAUAUAUAUCUGAAUAUGCAUGCAUUAUGAGUAUACAUAACUUUAAUGCACUUAGGUUUUUUGGUUUAAAUCUUGAAGAUAGUUAAAUUCAGCAGCACUAGAUCUAUCUCAGCCUUCUGAAGGGUUUUUUUAAUUUCAAUCCCAUUUCCCAUGAGGGGGGAGAAAUGCAGCUAAGUAAGUUGACUGCAGGCCACACCUGGCAGAGAGGACCGUUGAGGAGGGAGACCCAGAUGCCAGCCCCGGGGCAGGCAACAGGUCGGUAUUAUUGCUCUAGAGCUGUUUUUGUCGUUCUCUGAUCUUUUCCAGCCACCGGCUGUUUUCAUGUGUGUUUUCAUGUGGUUGUUUUCACAGUGCAGAAACAAUUUUGCCUGCUUCUCUCCCUUAACGUUGCUGUAAACAAGUUUCCCAUGUCAUGCAGAACUAUGACUGGAGACGUGCUAUUUCACACUGCUCAUGUGCCAAGGUUACGUGACCAUGCCCUCGUGUGCAAUACUAAGUUUAUUUCAAACCGUUAUUCUAAAAGAUGCUGCAGUGUAUACUCUACAUGGACUAUGCAGCAGUCAGAAACAAUGAACUAAAGCUACACAUAGCAACAUAGAUGUUUUAUAACAAGAGGAAAAAGAAGCAGGAAGAGAUUUCAUGGCAGAAAACCACAUAGGUAAAUUUACACACAAAACAAUAUCACAUCUUUUACAAGGAUAUAUGUACAUCUAGGCUAUGUAUCAAACACAAGAAAUAGGUGUCUUUAAAAGGAAGGGAUAUGUGAUAAGGGACGGAUAAAGAAUGAGAAGGCAAGACAAAUCAAAAGAGCCAGGGAGUUCCCGUUGUGGCGCAGCAGAAAUGAAUCCAACUAAGAACCAUGAGGUUGCGGGUUCAAUCCCCGGCCUUGCUCAGUGGCUUAAGGAUCCGGCAUUGCCAUGAGCUGUGGUGUAGGUCACAGAUGUGGCUCGGAUCUGGCAUUGCUGUGGCUGUGGUGUAGGCCAGUGGCAACAGCUCCAAUUAGACCCCUAGCUUGGGAACCUC
This 1748-nucleotide long non-coding RNA is filed under the name Sus scrofa (pig). Its description in RNAcentral is "lncRNA (ENSSSCG00060025356.1)". The record is from RNAcentral. Lineage: Eukaryota; Metazoa; Chordata; Mammalia; Artiodactyla; Suidae.